UCCCGUAGAGAUAGGGAGUGCUUGCUUGCAAGAACCUAAAGACAGGUGCUGCACGGCUGUCGUCAGCUCGUGUCGUGAGAUGUUGGGUUAAGUCCCGCAACGAGCGCAACCCCCGUCAUUAGUUGCUAACGGGUUAUGCCGAGAACUCUAAUGAGACUGCCUUCGUAAGGAGGAGGAAGGUGGGGACGACGUCAAGUCAUCAUGGCCCUUAUGCCUGGGGCGACACACGUGCUACAAUGGUAUGUACAGAGAGACGCAAUACGGCGACGUGGAGCAAAUCUCUAAAACAUAUCUCAGUUCGGAUUGUAGUCUGCAACUCGACUACAUGAAGCUGGAAUCGCUAGUAAUCGCGGAUCAGCAUGCCGCGGUGAAUACGUUCCCGGGCCUU
Molecule: ribosomal RNA, 388 nt
Filed under: uncultured Helicobacter sp.
Lineage: Bacteria; Pseudomonadati; Campylobacterota; Epsilonproteobacteria; Campylobacterales; Helicobacteraceae
Description: bacterial SSU rRNA
Rfam family: Bacterial small subunit ribosomal RNA
Source: RNAcentral